Molecule: ribosomal RNA, 400 nt
Filed under: uncultured Eubacteriales bacterium
Lineage: Bacteria; Bacillati; Bacillota; Clostridia; Eubacteriales
Description: bacterial SSU rRNA
Rfam family: Bacterial small subunit ribosomal RNA
Source: RNAcentral
GGGGAAUAUUGCACAAUGGAGGAAACUCUGAUGCAGCGACGCCGCGUGAGUGAAGAAGGCUUUCGAGUCGUAAAACUCUGUCCUUGGGGACGAUAAUGACGGUACCCAAGGAGGAAGCCCCGGCUAACUACGUGCCAGCAGCCGCGGUAAUACGUAGGGGGCGAGCGUUGUCCGGAAUUAUUGGGCGUAAAGGGUUCGCAGGCGGCCAAAUAAGUCAGAUGUGAAAUCCCACGGCUUAACCGUGGUAAGCAUUUGAAACUGUAUGGCUUGAGUUAAGGAGAGGAAAGUGGAAUUCCUAGUGUAGCGGUGAAAUGCGUAGAGAUUAGGAAGAACACCAGUGGCGAAGGCGGUUUCCUGGACUGUAACUGACGCUGAGGCACGAAAGCGUGGGUAGCAAACA